GAUGAACGCUGGCGGCGUGCUUAACACAUGCAAGUCGAACGGAAAGGCCCAAGCUUGCUUGGGUACUCGAGUGGCGAACGGGUGAGUAACACGUGGGUGAUCUGCCCUGCACUUCGGGAUAAGCCUUGGAAACUGGGUCUAAUACCGGAUAGGACCACAUUUUGGAUGGUGUGGUGGAGAGAUUUUCGGUGUGGGAUGAGCUCGCGGCCUAUCAGCUUGUUGGUGGGGUAAUGGCUUACCAAGGCGCCGACGGGUAGCCGGCCUGAGAGGGUGUACGGCCACAUUGGGACUGAGGUACGGCCCAGACUCCUACGGGAGGCAGCAGUGGGGAAUAUUGCACAAUGGGCGCAAGCCUGAUGCAGCGACGCCGCGUGGGGGAUGACGGCCUUCGGGUUGUAAACUCCUUUCGCUAGGGACGAAGCGCAAGUGACGGUACCUGGAGAAGAAGCACCGGCUAACUACGUG
This 465-nucleotide ribosomal RNA is filed under the name uncultured bacterium. RNAcentral describes it as "partial 16S ribosomal RNA". It matches the Rfam family "Bacterial small subunit ribosomal RNA", at positions 28 to 507 of the family's 1533-position model. The record is from RNAcentral.